AUUAAUCAUCCCCUUCCUUAUCCGACCCCUCCCCUGCCCCUCUCCCUCUCUCUUUGAUAACGCCCAAAUCACUCCGAUCUCUCCCCUUCCCCUCUCCCUCUAUCUUUGAUAAACGCCCAAAACCCUUUAUUACCUUCUUUAUCUGUGCUUUCCCCUGCCCCUCGACGUUCGGACUCCUCGUCAGUUUCCCUCUACCUCUCACCUGCUCUCCCCUUCCGUUUUGUGCUUCUAUAAAUACCUUCUGCUUCAAUUUUGAUGGAACAACGAAUCGUUUUUUUUCCAAUUGUGUCAGAGUUUUAUUGGCGGAAUAGAAAGUUCUCAAGGUUGGACCACAGGGGCAGAUUCGUGGCAGUGCCUUGAUGAUGGACAAAACUCUGUCUAUUUGUGAGAUUUAUGUUUCCUUGAGCAGACAAGUUCUUUAUGUUUUGGAGCUGCAUCAGUAAUACCAUCUAUAUGCUGCACAUAUGCAUUGCACAAGAGAUCAAUCAUUACCCUUUUUUUAUGCCAAACCUGAACAACAUUGAUGACAACACCAAAGGUAAGAACAUGUUGAGACAAUAUGCAGUAUAUUCCUUCUUGCUACUGUGUCAUUUGAUUUUGUAUGUAUAAAAAAACAUAUACUCUUAUUUGUUGUGCAUUUGUUUAUUAAACUUGAAAAGAAGAAUCCUUACUUAGAUUAACUUUUUCUUCAUGACUAGAUAUACAUUUUGAGCGUCUAUCUUACAAUUUGGCUAAGACACAUUUCAUGUUGCAGAAACUAGGAUCAUUUCCACCGAAUUAUGUUAAUGCAUAUCCGACACUCAUCAGUUUUAUCGGUAUAAUAAUUUGUGGGAUAAUUGUUACAUAUAAGAAAGAAACCGUAGUGGACAAACUAUGAAAGGCGUUGCCAAUGAAUUUUUUUGAAGCUUUAAUUGGAUUUACAAUUAAAUAUGGUCGAAGAAAGUCAAACAUUGAAUUUAGCUAUACAGCUUUAUGAGGAGGAAUCACAAGGUAAAAUCAACGCUAAAUUUUAGUCUCGUGAGUAAAAUAUAUCAUAACCUAUCAAUUUUUUGUUAUUCUGCUAUUUUCUUAUAUAUGUCUUCUGUUCAAUUUUUUUAAAUCAAUGAAAGUUGUAAUUUGUUAUCACAUGAAUCUAACCAGAAGAAUGCAAGGGUCUUCUUAGCAAGUUAUUAAGCUGGAACAUUUAAGAUAUAUUUCUGUAGGAAUAUGCACAUUCAUACAAUGAUUCUUCAGGUUAAUGUGUAAAUCCAUAUGUCUGGGUACAAUGCAGUUUGUAACCCCAUUUUCACACCAUUAAUGCAAUUAUUUGAAACUGUUGGAUACUUUGCUUGAAGAAGACAUGCUUCAGUUGUUAAAAUUAUUUGGAAGAUGUGGUAUGACUUAUGAGGCUUCAAGUCUUAGUCUUGCUAGCAGUUUGGUCAUAGGCUACCUGAAGUGAAAUUGGUGUCUGUUUAUGAAUUUUUUCCGUUCUUUAUUUCAUUGUGGCAUUGUUCAAGAUAUCUAUUUGCAAGUAAGGAUAUGGUCUUGUUGCUUUAAUAAACACUAUGAAAAUGCUACUUUCAUUUACAAAUUAAUUUUUCAAACUUGCAUUUCUCCUUCCUUUUCAAGUGCAGGUCCUUUUUAGCUUCGUGGAUUUUUACAGUUCAUUGUGAACUUUCACUUUUACUCAAUUUUAUUGCAGUGAAUUAUGGCUUAGUUCGAAGGUUUUGUUGAUGGCAAAUGAAUCUACUGUUAAAUGUUUAUUCCCAAGUGGUUCUUACAGGUUGAUGUUUUCCUCCAAUAGCAAUUCAUUAUAUUUUAAAUUAGAAGAAAAAUGUAAGAGAUGGAUUGAGGGUUGUAAUCUUCUCUGAUGAUGUUUUUUGUAACUCAAGUUUUUGUGCUGAGUUUGUGAUGUAACCCAAAUGUAUCAACGAUCUCAUGCCAUUCAUUUUUCAUAUCAACUUCUACAUUAAUCAA
This is a long non-coding RNA of Asparagus officinalis (garden asparagus), 1956 nucleotides long. RefSeq lists it as uncharacterized. NCBI's taxonomy places the organism in Eukaryota, Viridiplantae, Streptophyta, Magnoliopsida, Asparagales, Asparagaceae. The transcript has 5 exons. The record is from RefSeq and is a predicted model, not a curated record.